This 267-nucleotide ribosomal RNA is filed under the name Triticum aestivum (bread wheat). RNAcentral's name for it is "partial small subunit ribosomal RNA". The record is from RNAcentral. Lineage: Eukaryota; Viridiplantae; Streptophyta; Magnoliopsida; Poales; Poaceae.
GCAGAGGGGAAUAGCAGGUUGUGCGUCUCUGUAAGAGACUAUUACUGUUACAUGCUACAGACACGACCUGCGAUCUUCAAUCCCAUACUUUGUGGAGCACGCCUGCUGCAGCAAUGGGUGGUAGACAUGUAUGUCAAGAUUGAGAGUUGUCGGUUGAGGUGGUUCAGGAAGAACCAGACGCAGAUUUGGGCCGACUUGUAUAAAGGAGUUGUUGAUGUGAUCACUUCCGGUGAGACGCGAGCAAGCGCUGUUGGGACAAGGAUAGUU